GACGAACGCUGGCGGCGCGCCUAACACAUGCAAGUCGAACGAGCGAGCGAGAGCUUGCUUUCUCAAGCGAGUGGCGAACGGGUGAGUAACGCGUGAGGAACCUGCCUCAAAGAGGGGGACAACAGUUGGAAACGACUGCUAAUACCGCAUAAGCCCACGACCCGGCAUCGGGUCGAGGGAAAAGGAGCAAUCCGCUUUGAGAUGGCCUCGCGUCCGAUUAGCUAGUUGGUGAGGUAACGGCCCACCAAGGCGACGAUCGGUAGCCGGACUGAGAGGUUGAACGGCAACAUUGGGACUGAGACACGGCCCAGACUCCUACGGGAGGCAGCAGUGGGGAAUAUUGCACAAUGGGGGAAACCCUGAUGCAGCGACGCCGCGUGGAGGAAGAAGGUCUUCGGAUUGUAAACUCCUGUUGUUGAGGAAGAUAAUGACGGUACUCAACAAGGAAGUGACGGCUAACUACGUG
This 466-nucleotide ribosomal RNA is filed under the name uncultured bacterium. Its description in RNAcentral is "partial 16S ribosomal RNA". It matches the Rfam family "Bacterial small subunit ribosomal RNA", at positions 28 to 507 of the family's 1533-position model. The record is from RNAcentral.